RNAcentral lists this unclassified non-coding RNA (146 nucleotides) under plant metagenome. Its description in RNAcentral is "partial contains 5.8S ribosomal RNA, internal transcribed spacer 2, and large subunit ribosomal RNA". The record is from RNAcentral.
GAUCCUCUCGAAGAAGCAGCGGAAGACCGAGAGGCCGUAGCGCUCGCGGAUACGGGUGAGUGAAGAAUGCUCGGGCAAAGGCUCGAAUAGAUCGUAGCCGAGGUACCAACGCAAGGACAAACGGUCGGCUACUACCCCCAUCAGUU